CCUAGGGAGGCAGCAGUGGGGAAUAUUGGACAAUGGGCGAAAGCCUGAUCCAGCCAUGCCGCGUGAGUGAUGAAGGCCCUAGGGUUGUAAAGCUCUUUCGCCAGGGACGAUAAUGACGGUACCUGGAUAAGAAGCCCCGGCUAACUUCGUGCCAGCAGCCGCGGUAAU
RNAcentral lists this ribosomal RNA (168 nucleotides) under uncultured Methylocystaceae bacterium. RNAcentral's name for it is "partial 16S ribosomal RNA". It matches the Rfam family "Bacterial small subunit ribosomal RNA", at positions 338 to 524 of the family's 1533-position model. The record is from RNAcentral. Lineage: Bacteria; Pseudomonadati; Pseudomonadota; Alphaproteobacteria; Hyphomicrobiales; Methylocystaceae.